This 496-nucleotide ribosomal RNA is filed under the name uncultured bacterium. RNAcentral's name for it is "partial 16S ribosomal RNA". It matches the Rfam family "Bacterial small subunit ribosomal RNA", at positions 28 to 507 of the family's 1533-position model. The record is from RNAcentral.
GAUGAACGCUGGCGGCGUGCCUAAUACAUGCAAGUCGAGCGAACAGACGAGGAGCUUGCUCCUCUGACGUUAGCGGCGGACGGGUGAGUAACACGUGGAUAACCUACCUAUAAGACUGGGAUAACUUCGGGAAACCGGAGCUAAUACCGGAUAAUAUAUUGAACCGCAUGGUUCAAUAGUGAAAGACGGUUUUGCUGUCACUUAUAGAUGGAUCCGCGCCGCAUUAGCUAGUUGGUAAGGUAACGGCUUACCAAGGCAACGAUGUGUAGCCGACCUAAGAGGAUGAUCGGCAGCUGGGAUCAGAGGCUGCGCCCCCACACCCGGCGGGAGCCACCGCCCGGAAUCCUACGGGAGGGGGCAGAGGCGUAUCGGGCGCACUCGGCGAAAGUCUGAAGGGUCUUCGGCUCGUGAAUGAUGGUUGUCUGGGAAUAGCAAAUUUGUAUGUACGGAGACCCUUAUGACGGUACCCGAAGCAGAAGCCCCGGCUAACUUCGUU